UCUUAUAGGACCUAGAGGCGGCGUUAAA
This 28-nucleotide small RNA is filed under the name Bombyx mori (domestic silkworm). RNAcentral describes it as "ovarian small RNA-30097". The record is from RNAcentral. Lineage: Eukaryota; Metazoa; Arthropoda; Insecta; Lepidoptera; Bombycidae.